UAGGUACUCCCUCCGUUCCAAAUUACUCGUCACAGAAAUGGAUGUAUCUAGAACUAAAAUACAUCUAGAUACAUCCAUACCCACGACGAGUAAUUUGGAACGGAAGGAGUAGUUU
Non-coding RNA from Triticum urartu, 115 nucleotides. The record is from Rfam. NCBI's taxonomy places the organism in Eukaryota, Viridiplantae, Streptophyta, Magnoliopsida, Poales, Poaceae.